This 253-nucleotide ribosomal RNA is filed under the name uncultured bacterium. Its description in RNAcentral is "partial 16S ribosomal RNA". It matches the Rfam family "Bacterial small subunit ribosomal RNA", at positions 524 to 776 of the family's 1533-position model. The record is from RNAcentral.
GACAGAGGGGGCGAGCGGUGUCCGGAGUCACUGGGCGUAAAGCGCGCGCAGGCGGCAACCUAGGUGUCGUGUGAAAGCCCCCGGCUCAACCGGGGGAGGCCAUGGCAAACUGGGUCGCUCGAGCUGCGGAGAGGCCCCUCGAAUUGCCGGUGUAGCGGUGAAAUGCGUAGAGAUCGGCAGGAAGACCAAGGGGGAAGCCAGGGGGCUGGCCGCAGGCUGACGCUGAGGCGCGACAGCGUGGGGAGCAAACCGG